GAUGAAGAACGUAGCGAAAUGCGAAAAGUAAUGUGAAUUGCAGAAUUCAGUGAAUCAUCGAAUCUUUGAACGCACAUUGCGCCCGCCAGUAUUCUGGCGGGCAUGCCUGUUCGAGCGUCAUUACAACCCUCAGGCCCCCGGGCCUGGCGUUGGGGAUCGGCGGAAGCCCCCUGCGGGCACAACGCCGUCCCCCAAAUACAGUGGCGGUCCCGCCGCAGCUUCCAUUGCGUAGUAGCUAACACCUCGCAACUGGAGAGCGGCGCGGCCACGCCGUAAAACACCCAACUUCUGAAUGUUGACCUCGAAUCAGGUAGGAAUACCCGCUGAACUUAAGCAUAUCAAUAAGCGGAGGA
This 353-nucleotide unclassified non-coding RNA is filed under the name soil metagenome. RNAcentral's name for it is "partial contains 5.8S ribosomal RNA, internal transcribed spacer 2, and large subunit ribosomal RNA". The stretch from base 1 to 120 matches the Rfam family "5.8S ribosomal RNA", at positions 35 to 154 of the family's 154-position model. The record is from RNAcentral.